CGUCCUACGGGGCGCAGCAGUGAGGAAUAUUGGUCAAUGGGCGGGAGCCUGAACCAGCCAAGUCGCGUGAGGGAAGACGGUCCUAUGGAUUGUAAACCUCUUUAGGCGGGGAGCAAUGCCGGGCACGCGUGCCCGGAGGGAGGGUACCCGUAGAACAAGCAUCGGCUAACUCCGUGCCAGCAGCCGCGGUAAUACGGAGGAUUCGAGCGUUAUCCGGAUUUAUUGGGUUUAAAGGGUGCGCAGGCGGCACGGCAAGCCGGCGGUCAAA
RNAcentral lists this ribosomal RNA (268 nucleotides) under uncultured bacterium. RNAcentral describes it as "partial 16S ribosomal RNA". It matches the Rfam family "Bacterial small subunit ribosomal RNA", at positions 335 to 599 of the family's 1533-position model. The record is from RNAcentral.